GACGAACGCUGGCGGCGUGCUAACCCAUGCCAGUCGAACGGUAAAGCCCUUCGGGGGUCACCAAGGGCGAAACGGGGGAUAAAACGGUGGUGAACUGGCCCUGAACUUGGGAUAAGGCCGGGGAACUUGGGCUAAUACCGGAAUGGGCCACCGCCUGGCUGGGUGGGGGGGGAAAGUGUUUGCGGUGUGGGAUGGGCCCGCGGCCUAUCAGCUUGUUGGUGGGGUGAUGGCCUACCAAGGCGACGGCGGGUAGCCGGCCUGAGAGGGUGACCGGCCACACUGGGACUAAGAUACGGCCCAGACUCCUACGGGAGGCAGCAGUGGGGAAUAUUGCACAAUGGGCGCAAGCCUGAUGCAGCGACGCCGCGUGAGGGAUGACGGCCUUCGGGUCGUAAACCUCUUUCAGCACCGACGAAGCGCAAGUGACGGUAGGUGCAGAAGAAGGACCGGCCAACUACGUGCCAGCCGCCGCCGUAA
RNAcentral lists this ribosomal RNA (477 nucleotides) under uncultured bacterium. RNAcentral's name for it is "partial 16S ribosomal RNA". It matches the Rfam family "Bacterial small subunit ribosomal RNA", at positions 28 to 523 of the family's 1533-position model. The record is from RNAcentral.